GCCAGUGUGGCGUAGUGGUUUGCAUGUUGGAUUAUGACUCUGGAGACCAGGGUUUGAAUCCCAGCUCAGUCA
Non-coding RNA from Phrynosoma platyrhinos (Desert horned lizard), 72 nucleotides. The record is from the annotation of a GenBank genome assembly. NCBI's taxonomy places the organism in Eukaryota, Metazoa, Chordata, Lepidosauria, Squamata, Phrynosomatidae.